AUAGCGUAUAUUAAAGUUGUUGCAGUUAAAAAGCUCGUAGUUGAAUUUCUGGAGGAGUGCCAAUGUCGGCUUGUUGCUUGUGCAGCGGCGCUCUUCCAUCCUUCUGUUAACGUUUCACGGUAUUCAUUUACUGGUUGCGGGCUCAGAUAUUUUACCUUGAGAAAAUUAGAGUGUUUCAGGCAGGCUUGCGCCCGAAUACAUUAGCAUGGAAUAAUAGAAUAGGACUUUAGACUCCUUUGUUGGUUUGAGGGUCUGGAGUAAUGAUUAAUAGGGACAGUUGGGGGCAUUAGUAUUUAAUUGUCAGAGGUGAAAUUCUCGGAUUUGUUAAAGACUAACUUAUG
This 341-nucleotide ribosomal RNA is filed under the name uncultured eukaryote. RNAcentral's name for it is "bacterial SSU rRNA". It matches the Rfam family "Eukaryotic small subunit ribosomal RNA", at positions 594 to 945 of the family's 1831-position model. The record is from RNAcentral.